CAGAACUUAAGGAAUGACGGGGCCGCACAAGCGGAGGAGCAUGUGGUUUAAUUCGAUGAUACGCGAGGAACCUUACCUGGGCUCGAACGUAAGAUGACUGUAGGUGAAAGCUUACAUCUCUUCGGAGCAUUUUACGAGGUGCUGCAUGGUUGUCGUCAGCUCGUGCCGUGAGGUGUCGGGUUAAGUCCCAUAACGAGCGCAACCCUACCUUUAGUUGCCAUCAGGUAAUGCUGGGGACUCUAAAGGAACUGCCUACGCAAGUAGUGAGGAAGGCGGGGAUGACGUCAAAUCAGCACGGCCCUUACGUCCAGGGCUACACACGUGCUACAAUGGCCGAUACAGAGGGCAGCUACCUGGUGACAGGAUGCAAAUCUCCAAAGUCGGUCUCAGUUCGGAUCGGAGUCUGCAACCCGACUCCGUGAAGUUGGAUUCGCUAGUAAUCGCGCAUCAGCCAUGGCGCGGUGAAUACGUUCCCGGGCCUU
Molecule: ribosomal RNA, 482 nt
Filed under: uncultured Sphingobacteriales bacterium
Lineage: Bacteria; Pseudomonadati; Bacteroidota; Sphingobacteriia; Sphingobacteriales
Description: bacterial SSU rRNA
Rfam family: Bacterial small subunit ribosomal RNA
Source: RNAcentral